This 83-nucleotide small nucleolar RNA is filed under the name Drosophila grimshawi. RNAcentral's name for it is "snoRNA:GH25819". The record is from RNAcentral. Lineage: Eukaryota; Metazoa; Arthropoda; Insecta; Diptera; Drosophilidae.
UUUAAAGUAUGCCAAAGCAAAAGAAUGAUUGGGUGUCCAUAUAACUUAAUUAUAGUUACAUUUGGCCAAUAAUCGUUCGGACA